This 179-nucleotide ribosomal RNA is filed under the name uncultured bacterium. Its description in RNAcentral is "partial 16S ribosomal RNA". It matches the Rfam family "Bacterial small subunit ribosomal RNA", at positions 1321 to 1500 of the family's 1533-position model. The record is from RNAcentral.
UGAAGCUGGAAUUGCUAGUAAUGGCAGGUCAGCAUACUGCCGUGAAUACGUUCCCGGGCCCUUGUACACACCGCCCGUCACACCAUGAGAGUUGGGAAUACCCGAAGCCUGUGAGCUAACGAAAGAGGCAGCAGUCGAAGGUAGAAUCAAUGAUUGGGGUGAAGUCGUAACAAGGUAGC